CUUGCUUCUUCUCACUCACGGCUGGUGUAUUUUUUCUAUCUCCAACUGGUCUCAGAGGUAGAUACUGCAGUGACAGCACUGAGAGCAGAUCUGGUGUAUACAAAGACAACACAUGUUCCUGGUGUUUGUGAUGACAUUUCGCUGGCUUUGCCUGUGUCAUAUGAUGCUUCUGAAGAAGACUUGAUGAGUGCAAUAGAGAGAGAAUUUGGAUAGCAUAAUAAUGAGGCAGUUUAUCUUGGAUGCAAAUUUGUAAAGCAAAUACUUGCUUUACAAAACCCAAACAGUAUCUUAAUGCAAAAAAUACAGAUGUCUGUUUUAUAUAAAUCCUGCUCUCUGUAAAUUCUGGCUUUAAAUAUGUCUUUCUAUUUGCCAAAAUGCUUGUUAUGUACUUGUAUUGUACUGUGUUGUGUUGUAUUGUAUUAUAUUGUGUUGUACUUUUUUUCCACUUGCAUGCAAAGCCUUCAAUCAGAUGAAUUCUUUUUGAUAUGCAUUACACAGGAGAUAGAAUUCAGUAUUUCCAUGGCCACAAAAUAAUUUCAGGGGGAAAAAUGUGCGUGUCUGGAAUGUAUGUUUAAGUACCAUUUCCUGGCCGCAGUUUAUGUGGAGCUCUCCACCCCUCAGUAGUGGAAUGCACAUUGACAUGGUUUGGGAUGUAGUUCCUAAAUGAAGGCCCCUUUUCUCCAUCGCAACUGCACUGUGAUGUGAAUCACACAUUGAUACCAAAAACCCACAGAUGUGGUUAUGGGUAGGAAUAAAUCAUCCAAGCGAAUCUUCAUAGUGGAGCUUCAGUUUGAAUUAUGCUCACUAGUAUAGUUUAUAGUUUGUUUUUGUUGCUGGUAGAUGAAAUUACAUUUUAUUUAAUCUUUGAUGGAUCCUCUAAUGAUAGCCUUUAAACAGGUAUUUUGAUUAUUCAGUUUAUACAGUAAGUAAGACUUACUGUAAUGUUUAGUUACAUAUGUCAAAUUGAUAUUAUAUAAAUGCAUAAAAGCAGUUUACUCACCCGCAUACUCUCUCAGACAUGCGCUCAGGUCAGGACUGUAGAUUAAGAAUGCAACAUACAGUAUAGCUUUCUUUCUUUCUUUAUUGAUUUGAUCUCAAUAGGACAGUUCCAGUUCAAACUGAAGAAGAUAUAUUUUGCUGCUUUAUUCAGAAGGAUUUUGCUGCUCACUUAGCUGGUCGAAGAGAAUCUAUGUAUGUAUGUAUUUUUACUUCUUAUUUUUCAAACAUUGUUAUAUGUAGUGCCCUAGUGUUUAGAGCAUACGGUUAGCUUUGUAUUUCUGGAGAUUGUAUUUAGACUUUAAACGUCAUAAACGUUGUGUUUGUUUGUGAAAAUUGUCUUGAUGGACAAAACAUGUUAGUGUUGUACAUUUUUGUUGAUUACAUAGACUUGCACCCCGUCCAGGGUGUCCCCCGCCUUGUGCCCCAUGCCUCUUGGGAUAGGCUCCAGAUUCCC
Molecule: long non-coding RNA, 1453 nt
Organism: Ictalurus punctatus (channel catfish)
Lineage: Eukaryota; Metazoa; Chordata; Actinopteri; Siluriformes; Ictaluridae
Source: Ensembl